RNAcentral lists this transfer RNA (83 nucleotides) under Canis lupus familiaris (dog). It matches the Rfam family "tRNA". Rfam says of the family: Transfer RNA (tRNA) molecules are approximately 80 nucleotides in length. Their secondary structure includes four short double-helical elements and three loops (D, anti-codon, and T loops). Lineage: Eukaryota; Metazoa; Chordata; Mammalia; Carnivora; Canidae. The record is from Rfam by way of RNAcentral. RNAcentral also lists the same sequence under 1 other name.
GCCUGUGUGGCUCAGUGGUUGAGCAUCUGCCUUUGGCUCAGAUCAUGAUCCUGGGGUCCUGGGAUCGAGCCCCACAUCAGGCU